RNAcentral lists this ribosomal RNA (274 nucleotides) under uncultured bacterium. RNAcentral describes it as "partial 16S ribosomal RNA". It matches the Rfam family "Archaeal small subunit ribosomal RNA", at positions 473 to 747 of the family's 1478-position model. The record is from RNAcentral.
AAACCAGCACCUCAAGUGGUCAGGAUGAUUAUUGGGCCUAAAGCAUCCGUAGCCUGCUUUAUCAGUUUUCGGUUAAAUCCACACGCUCAACGUAUGGGCUGCCGGGAAUACUGUAAAGCUAGGGAGUGGGAGAGGUAGACGGUACUCGGGAGGAAGGGGUAAAAUCCUUUGAUCUCUCGAUGACCACCUGUGGCGAGGGCGGUCUACCAGAACACGUCCGACGGUGAGGGAUGAAAGCUGGGGGAGCAAACCGGAUUAGAAACCCGGGUAGUCC